This is a non-coding RNA of Halocaridina rubra (Hawaiian volcano shrimp), 94 nucleotides long. Lineage: Eukaryota; Metazoa; Arthropoda; Malacostraca; Decapoda; Atyidae. The record is from the annotation of a GenBank genome assembly.
GACGAGGAUGGGAUCCGAACCCACGCAGGGAAACCCUAUUGGAUUGCUAAUCCAAUAGGGUUUCCCUGCGUGGGUUCGGAUCCCAUCCUCGUCG